Non-coding RNA from Podarcis lilfordi (Lilford's wall lizard), 333 nucleotides. NCBI's taxonomy places the organism in Eukaryota, Metazoa, Chordata, Lepidosauria, Squamata, Lacertidae. The record is from the annotation of a GenBank genome assembly.
ACCUGUCCUAGAUACUUCUGUCCAUUGUCUGCCCUACACCCUUCCUUGUCUCUGCCCUCCAAAUCCCUUCGCCUUUAUAUUGCACCCUCAGCUAAACUUGACACUUCUCUCUUCCCUCACAGAAAUUGGACUUAAAACUAUACAGUUCCUUGAGCAAUUGAGCAUUCUCUGCCAUCACAUCAAGUAGUCUCAACAAUCAUACAUGGCAACACAAAUGAAGACUUGGUACUUGGAGAGUAUGAGAGGAUGGAAUCUUUGAUGAAGGCUGAUUCUUUUGUAUAGUUAUUCAGAAGUAAGUCUCACUGUGUUUGUUAGGGCUUUAAAUACAAAAAA